GCUGUUAUGCUGGAACUGGCAGACAGAGUGGAGUUAAAAUCCGCUGGGCAAAAAUGCACAUGUAGGUUCAAAUCCUACUAACAGCA
RNAcentral lists this transfer RNA (86 nucleotides) under Lachnospiraceae bacterium. RNAcentral's name for it is "tRNA-Leu". It matches the Rfam family "tRNA". From Rfam's summary of the family: Transfer RNA (tRNA) molecules are approximately 80 nucleotides in length. Their secondary structure includes four short double-helical elements and three loops (D, anti-codon, and T loops). Further hydrogen bonds mediate the characteristic L-shaped molecular structure. tRNAs have two regions of fundamental functional importance: the anti-codon, which is responsible for specific mRNA codon recognition, and the 3' end, to which the tRNAs corresponding amino acid is attached (by aminoacyl-tRNA synthetases). tRNAs cope with the degeneracy of the genetic code in two manners: having more than one tRNA (with a specific anti-codon) for a particular amino acid; and 'wobble' base-pairing, i.e. permitting non-standard base-pairing at the 3rd anti-codon position. The record is from RNAcentral. Lineage: Bacteria; Bacillati; Bacillota; Clostridia; Lachnospirales; Lachnospiraceae.